ACCUGAUGAUGUGGGAAUUUACGGAGCAAGUCCUUAAGGCACUCCCCGGUCUCAAAGAAAAGUUCCUCAUCCAUUUGUGCAAAACUUGUGAUUGCCCUUCGCAGCU
Small nucleolar RNA from Malania oleifera, 106 nucleotides. NCBI's taxonomy places the organism in Eukaryota, Viridiplantae, Streptophyta, Magnoliopsida, Santalales, Ximeniaceae. The record is from RefSeq and is a predicted model, not a curated record.